This 636-nucleotide ribosomal RNA is filed under the name Bacillus amyloliquefaciens. Its description in RNAcentral is "bacterial SSU rRNA". It matches the Rfam family "Bacterial small subunit ribosomal RNA", at positions 182 to 803 of the family's 1533-position model. The record is from RNAcentral. Lineage: Bacteria; Bacillati; Bacillota; Bacilli; Caryophanales; Bacillaceae.
UGAACCGCAUGGUUCAGACAUAAAAGGUGGCUUCGGCUACCACUUACAGAUGGACCCGCGGCGCAUUAGCUAGUUGGUGAGGUAACGGCUCACCAAGGCGACGAUGCGUAGCCGACCUGAGAGGGUGAUCGGCCACACUGGGACUGAGACACGGCCCAGACUCCUACGGGAGGCAGCAGUAGGGAAUCUUCCGCAAUGGACGAAAGUCUGACGGAGCAACGCCGCGUGAGUGAUGAAGGUUUUCGGAUCGUAAAGCUCUGUUGUUAGGGAAGAACAAGUGCCGUUCAAAUAGGGCGGCACCUUGACGGUACCUAACCAGAAAGCCACGGCUAACUACGUGCCAGCAGCCGCGGUAAUACGUAGGUGGCAAGCGUUGUCCGGAAUUAUUGGGCGUAAAGGGCUCGCAGGCGGUUUCUUAAGUCUGAUGUGAAAGCCCCCGGCUCAACCGGGGAGGGUCAUUGGAAACUGGGGAACUUGAGUGCAGAAGAGGAGAGUGGAAUUCCACGUGUAGCGGUGAAAUGCGUAGAGAUGUGGAGGAACACCAGUGGCGAAGGCGACUCUCUGGUCUGUAACUGACGCUGAGGAGCGAAAGCGUGGGGAGCGAACAGGAUUAGAUACCCUGGUAGUCCACGCCGU